AGUGAACGCUGGUGGUAGGCCUAACACAUGCAAGUCGAACGGCAGCACAGUAAGAGCUUGCUCUUACGGGUGGCGAGUGGCGGACGGGUGAGGAAUACAUCGGAAUCUACUUUUUCGUGGGGGAUAACGUAGGGAAACUUACGCUAAUACCGCAUACGACCUACGGGUGAAAGCAGGGGAUCUUCGGACCUUGCGCGAUUGAAUGAGCCGAUGUCGGAUUAGCUAGUUGGCGGGGUAAAGGCCCACCAAGGCGACGAUCCGUAGCUGGUCUGAGAGGAUGAUCAGCCACUCUGGAACUGAGACACGGUCCAGACUCCUACGGGAGGCAGCAGUGGGGAAUAUUGGACAAUGGGCGCAAGCCUGAUCCAGCCAUACCGCGUGGGUGAAGAAGGCCUUCGGGUUGUAAAGCCCUUUUGUUGGGAAAGAAAAGCAGCAGGUUAAUACCCCGCUGUUCUGACGGUACCCAAAGAAUAAGCACCGGCUAACUUCGUG
RNAcentral lists this ribosomal RNA (492 nucleotides) under uncultured bacterium. RNAcentral's name for it is "partial 16S ribosomal RNA". It matches the Rfam family "Bacterial small subunit ribosomal RNA", at positions 29 to 507 of the family's 1533-position model. The record is from RNAcentral.